ACCCCCUGUCUUACCUGACCAUCCAAGUGCCCGUCAGAAGGCAGCACAGAAUAAAUGGAUGGAGGAUGAUAAUAAGAUGAAGUAUUAUAUUUUGGCCUCAAUGUCAAAUGAGUUGCAGAGCUAGCAUGAGAUGCCUACUACCGGGCCAUGAUUGCUCACUUGCAAGAGUUGUAUGAUGAGCAGAGCUGCACUGCAUACUUUGAAGUCUCCAA
Molecule: long non-coding RNA, 212 nt
Filed under: Elaeis guineensis (African oil palm)
Lineage: Eukaryota; Viridiplantae; Streptophyta; Magnoliopsida; Arecales; Arecaceae
Description: long non-coding RNA (EGUI_LNC014849)
Source: RNAcentral